This is a non-coding RNA of Pelobates cultripes (western spadefoot toad), 267 nucleotides long. The record is from the annotation of a GenBank genome assembly. Lineage: Eukaryota; Metazoa; Chordata; Amphibia; Anura; Pelobatidae.
UGGGUCCCAGGGUCCACCUUCAUGUUCCACCAAUGAGUUUGUUCACAGGGGGUGGUGUAGGGGAUGUCCUGAUAUGUGUGUAAGGAAUGCAUUGUGUGAAUCUGUGUUUGUAUGUGUAAGGGCUGCAAGGUGUGUUUCUGUGUAUGUACAGGAUACAGUGUGUGCGUUUGUAAGGGGUGCAUUGAGUGUGUGUAAGGGGUGCAUUGAGUGUGUGUAAGGAAUGCAUUGUGUGUUUCUGUGUGUGUAAGGGAUGCAUUGUGUGUAAGG